Molecule: ribosomal RNA, 229 nt
Filed under: uncultured bacterium
Lineage: Bacteria
Description: partial 16S ribosomal RNA
Rfam family: Bacterial small subunit ribosomal RNA
Source: RNAcentral
UCCGCAGGCGGUCAAUUAAGUCAGAGGUGAAAUACCAUAGCUCAACUAUGGAACUGCCUUUGAUACUGGUUGACUUGAGUCAUAUGGAAGUAGAUAGAAUGUGUAGUGUAGCGGUGAAAUGCAUAGAUAUUACACAGAAUACCGAUUGCGAAGGCAGUCUACUACGUAUGUACUGACGCCGAGGGACGAAAGCGUGGGGAGCGAACAGGAUUAGAUACCCUGGUAGUCC